UCUGUAAGCCUGUGAAGGUGUGCUGUGAGGUAUGCUGGAGGUAUCAGAAGUGCGAAUGCUGACAUAAGUAACGAUAAAGCGGGUGAAAAGCCCGCUCGCCGGAAGACCAAGGGUUCCUGUCCAACGUUAAUCGGGGCAGGGUGAGUCGACCCCUAAGGCGAGGCCGAAAGGCGUAGUCGAUGGGAAACAGGUUAAUAUUCCUGUACUUGGUGUUACUGCGAAGGGGGGACGGAGAAGGCUAUGUUGGCCGGGCGACGGUUGUCCCGGUUUAAGCGUGUAGGCUGGUUUUCCAGGCAAAUCCGGAAAAUCAAGGCCGAGGCGUGAUGACGAGGCACUACGGUGCUGAAGCAACAAAUGCCCUGCUUCCAGGAAAAGCCUCUAAGCAUCAGGUAACAUCAAAUCGUACCCCAAACCGACACAGGUGGUCAGGUAGAGAAUACCAAGGCGCUUGAGAGAACUCGGGUGAAGGAACUAGGCAAAAUGGUGCCGUAACUUCGGGAGAAGGCACGCUGAUACGUAGGUGAAGCGACUUGCUCGUGGAGCUGAAAUCAGUCGAAGAUACCAGCUGGCUGCAACUGUUUAUUAAAAACACAGCACUGUGCAAACACGAAAGUGGACGUAUACGGUGUGACGCCUGCCCGGUGCCGGAAGGUUAAUUGAUGGGGUUAGCGCAAGCGAAGCUCUUGAUCGAAGCCCCGGUAAACGGCGGCCGUAACUAUAACGGUCCUAAGGUAGCGAAAUUCCUUGUCGGGUAAGUUCCGACCUGCACGAAUGGCGUAAUGAUGGCCAGGCUGUCUCCACCCGAGACUCAGUGAAAUUGAACUCGCUGUGAAGAUGCAGUGUACCCGCGGCAAGACGGAAAGACCCCGUGAACCUUUACUAUAGCUUGACACUGAACAUUGAGCCUUGAUGUGUAGGAUAGGUGGGAGGCUUUGAAGUGUGGACGCCAGUCUGCAUGGAGCCGACCUUGAAAUACCACCCUUUAAUGUUUGAUGUUCUAACGUGGACCCGUGAUCCGGGUUGCGGACAGUGUCUGGUGGGUAGUUUGACUGGGGCGGUCUCCUCCUAAAGAGUAACGGAGGAGCACGAAGGUUGGCUAAUCCUGGUCGGACAUCAGGAGGUUAGUGCAAUGGCAUAAGCCAGCUUGACUGCGAGCGUGACGGCGCGAGCAGGUGCGAAAGCAGGUCAUAGUGAUCCGGUGGUUCUGAAUGGAAGGGCCAUCGCUCAACGGAUAAAAGGUACUCCGGGGAUAACAGGCUGAUACCGCCCAAGAGUUCAUAUCGACGGCGGUGUUUGGCACCUCGAUGUCGGCUCAUCACAUCCUGGGGCUGAAGUAGGUCCCAAGGGUAUGGCUGUUCGCCAUUUAAAGUGGUACGCGAGCUGGGUUUAGAACGUCGUGAGACAGUUCGGUCCCUAUCUGCCGUGGGCGCUGGAGAACUGAGGGGGGCUGCUCCUAGUACGAGAGGACCGGAGUGGACGCAUCACUGGUGUUCGGGUUGUCAUGCCAAUGGCACUGCCCGGUAGCUAAAUGCGGAAGAGAUAAGUGCUGAAAGCAUCUAAGCACGAAACUUGCCCCGAGAUGAGUUCUCCCUGACCCUUU
RNAcentral lists this ribosomal RNA (1600 nucleotides) under Shigella sonnei. RNAcentral describes it as "partial 23S ribosomal RNA". It matches the Rfam family "Bacterial large subunit ribosomal RNA", at positions 1240 to 2824 of the family's 2925-position model. The record is from RNAcentral. Lineage: Bacteria; Pseudomonadati; Pseudomonadota; Gammaproteobacteria; Enterobacterales; Enterobacteriaceae.